GUGGGGAAUUUUGGACAAUGGGCGCAAGCCUGAUCCAGCAAUGCCGCGUGCAGGAAGAAGGCCUUCGGGUUGUAAACUGCUUUUGUACGGAACGAAACGGUCCUGGCUAAUAUCCGGGGCUAAUGACGGUACCGUAAGAAUAAGCACCGGCUAACUACGUGCCAGCAGCCGCGGUAAUACGUAGGGUGCGAGCGUUAAUCGGAAUUACUGGGCGUAAAGCGUGUGCAGGCGGUGCUGUAAGACAGGCGUGAAAUCCCCGGGCUCAACCUGGGAAUUGCGCUUGUGACUGCAGUGCUGGAGUGCGGCAGAGGGGGAUGGAAUUCCGCGUGUAGCAGUGAAAUGCGUAGAUAUGCGGAGGAACACCGAUGGCGAAGGCAAUCCCCUGGGCCUGCACUGACGCUCAUGCACGAAAGCGUGGGGAGCAAACAGGAUUAGAAACCCCAGUAGUCC
Molecule: ribosomal RNA, 450 nt
Filed under: uncultured bacterium
Lineage: Bacteria
Description: partial 16S ribosomal RNA
Rfam family: Bacterial small subunit ribosomal RNA
Source: RNAcentral